AUGCCGCGCUCUCAGACGCUCCGUCCUUCAUCCGCUCCGAGUCAAACCUCUUUCAUUCACACCCUCCGCCGUGUUCUUCGUCACUCCGUCCAACUUCCACGCCGUGUUCGUCGUCCACGUCAUCGUCCGUUCGUCGUUCGCCGUCCAACUACUUUCGUCCACGUCGUCUGCCGUCCAUGUCGUCCAAGUCGUCCGCUGUGUUUGUAUGUAUUUCUGCAUUUAUAUUUCGAUCUCCAUUUCGUAUCGUUGUGUUUGAGUUGA
This is a non-coding RNA of Vicia faba (fava bean), 261 nucleotides long. The record is from the annotation of a GenBank genome assembly. NCBI's taxonomy places the organism in Eukaryota, Viridiplantae, Streptophyta, Magnoliopsida, Fabales, Fabaceae.